This is a long non-coding RNA of Branchiostoma belcheri (Belcher's lancelet), 212 nucleotides long. RefSeq lists it as uncharacterized. NCBI's taxonomy places the organism in Eukaryota, Metazoa, Chordata, Leptocardii, Amphioxiformes, Branchiostomatidae. The transcript is spliced from 2 exons. The record is from RefSeq and is a predicted model, not a curated record.
CAGACCUGGACCUGUGUGCCCAGGUCGUCUGUCCGUUCAACUGGCAGUGUCAGGACGAAGGCAACCACUUCAUCUGCCUCGCUGGGUCCAGGCUGGCGGAACCCUACACUUGCAGCAGCGCCUCCUGUCCGGACGGCAUGUACUGCAGGGAGGAGGGGCCGGCAUCUUUCUCCUGCAGAGCCGGGUAGAUUCCCUGCUGCACGUCAGACCUG